Molecule: ribosomal RNA, 1022 nt
Filed under: Phaeoisaria sp.
Lineage: Eukaryota; Fungi; Ascomycota; Sordariomycetes; Pleurotheciales; Pleurotheciaceae
Description: SSU rRNA
Rfam family: Eukaryotic small subunit ribosomal RNA
Source: RNAcentral
AGUACAAAGUGAAACUGCGAAUGGCUCAUUAUAUAAGUUAUCGUUUAUUUGAUAUUGCCUAUCCUACAUGGAUAACAGUGGUAAUUCUAGAGCUAAUACAUGCUGAAAAUCCCGACUUCGGAAGGGACGUAUUUAUUAGAAUCAGAACCAAUGCCCUUCGGGGCUUCUUGGUGACUCAUGAUAACUCCACAGAUCGCAUGGCCUUGCGCCGGCGAUGGCUCAUUCAAAUUUCUUCCCUAUCAACUUUCGACGGUACGGUAUUGGCCUACCGUGGUUGUAACGGGUGACGGAGGGUUAGGGCUCGACCCCGGAGAGGGAGCCUGAGAAACGGCUACCACAUCCAAGGAAGGCAGCAGGCGCGCAAAUUAUCCAAUCCCGACACGGGGAGAUAGUGACAAUAAAUACCGAUACAGGGCUCUUUUGGGCCCUGUAAUUGGAAUGAGUACAAUUUAAACCUCUUAACGAGGAACAAUUGGAGGGCAAGUCUGGUGCCAGCAGCCGCGGUAAUUCCAGCUCCAAUAGCGUAUAUUAAAGUUGUUGUGGUUAAAAAGCUCGUAGUCGAACCUCGAGCCUGGCCGGCCGGUCCGCCUCACCGCGUGCACUGGUCUGGCCGGGCUCUUCCCUCUGCGGAACCGCAUGUCCUUCACUGGGCGUGUCGGGGAGGCAGGACUUUUACUUUGAAAAAAUUAGAGUGCUCAAGGCAGGCCAAUGCUCGAAUACAUUAGCAUGGAAUAAUAGAAUAGGACGUUGGUUCUAUUUUGUUGGUUUCUAGGACCGCCGUAAUGAUCAAUAGGGACGGUCGGGGGCAUCAGUAUUCAGCCGUCAGAGGUGAAAUUCUUGGACCGGCUGAAGACUAACUACUGCGAAAGCAUUUGCCAAGGACGUUUUCGCUGAUCAGGAACGAAAGUUAGGGGAUCGAAGACGAUCAGAUACCGUCGUAGUCUUAACCAUAAACUAUGCCGACUAGGGAUCGGGCGGCGUUCUUUCUAGACCCGCUCGGCACCUUUCGAGAAAUCAAAGUG